GACGAACGCUGGCGGCGUGCUUAACACAUGCAAAUCGAACGAUGAAGCCGGAGCUUGCUCUGGUGAAUUAGUGGCGAACGGGUGAGUAACACGUGAGUAACCUGCCCUUGACUCUGGGAUAACUGCUAGAAAUGGUAGCUAAUACCGGAUACGACCCUCGGAGGCAUCUCCAGGGGGUGGAAAGAAUUUCGGUCAAGGAUGGACUCGCGGCCUAUCAGCUAGUUGGUGAGGUAACGGCUCACCAAGGCGACGACGGGUAGACGGCCUGAGAGGGUGACGGGCCACGCUGGGACUGAGACACGGCCCAGAGUCCUACGUGAUGAAGCAGUGGGGAAUAUUGCACAAUGGGCGCAAGCCUGAUGCAGCAACGCCGCGUGAGGGAUGACGGCCUUCGGGUUGUAAACCUCUUUUAGUAGGGAAGAAGCGAAAGUGACGGUACCUGCAGAAAAAGCACCGGCUAACUACGUGCCAGCAGCCGCCGCGG
Molecule: ribosomal RNA, 484 nt
Filed under: uncultured bacterium
Lineage: Bacteria
Description: partial 16S ribosomal RNA
Rfam family: Bacterial small subunit ribosomal RNA
Source: RNAcentral